UUUUGACGUUUUGGAAGAAAGAAUUCUUUCAGAAAAAAAAGUAUUUUAAAAUGUUUGUGUGAAACAAAAUAUCGGGGUAAAAUAAUUGAAUCGUGUUGGAAAAAGAUGCAAUGGAAUCGUGUUGGAUGGAAGGAGGGCCAAAUGCCCCCGCAAACUAGAUACAUACCUCCAUUUAUAUCAAUAAAAAGUCUAGUAAGAGUACAAUUCAUCAACAACAGCAUCCGAAACAGCAUUAUCACACCAACAUCAACAAUAACAGCUUAAGCACCAAUCACAACAGCUGAAUCUCGAUAUGAUCCGCCAGUCCAUUUUUUAAAAUCCCGGCUGCAGAAAUUUAUGCGAGGACGAGCACAAGAUGCCAAUUUAUAACAUGGAACCAAUCGACAAAAUAAGCCUCCUCAAACGGAAUAAAUGCCCGAACAGCCAGGACCAUCAAAUGUCUGGAACGGGAUAUAACGCAAAAUUAAGUUCAUAUGGAAUACUUCCAACAUCUCGGUCAUACUGGCCAAUGUGUGGAUAAAUGCAAAAGACCUGCAUAGGUACAAGGUACUAGGAAUAUACGAAUUCGUUUGCAAAUAAAGAUUAUUGCCCAGUAAAUGAUGGUUGUCGGUGAUUUUAAUGAAAUGUUCAUGCCCUUAUUCGAUGGUGUCCUUGUCGAUCCAGAAAAAUCUGUAGCUGGAACAAACUCCUAAUAUAUUUGUUGACAAAAGGAAAAGAAUCAUAUCUUUUGCCAGCCAGACAAGCUGAUCUAAAACCACUCAAAGUAUGAAAUUGUGCUGAAAAGCUGCUCGUUUUCAAUUCAUUGUUGCUGAUAAUGUGAAGAUUCUGAAAAACUUCAUAAUCGUGACGAUCGUAAACGAAACAGGGAAAGAGAAAACUGACUAGAGUGCGUGCUCAGUAGAUAUGUUUAUAUAUUCAUAUGUGGAUAUCGCUUAAAUUGAGCGAGUUCAAGGUUAACAGGAGGAGAAGUCUAUAAAUACACUAUUUUCAGAUCUGUUUGAGUUGAAUUUUAAAAAUUUUCCAUAAGAGAUGAUCGACAGUCGCGGGCAGUUACGGAGUUUGUGGAAACAGAACCUAACAAUUCUGAACCUCAAUUCUUUGCAAGAAUGAAAAUCGAAGAAGUAGCUCCAGCACAAGAACUACACCAAGCUAAAAUCGGAGAAUGUAAGAGAAAAUCAAUACCUCAUAGCAGAUUUUUACGAAACACUCAACACUUUGUGUCGUAUACCAACUGUGUCCUAAAAUUGUUGUCAUCGAAACUCCAAAUGCAAAAACCAUGAAGGAAGAAUGAAAAAAGCGCCAUUUGUUAGAAGAUUAACAUCAACAAUGUAGUCUAGGGCUUUUAAUUAUUUCUAAAGAAUACAUCUUUUUAUUAUUGUUAUUCUUGUAAAGACUUUUUAUACGAAUAUUUUAUAUUACAUAAUUAUGCAGGUAUGUGUGUAUUUUUGUAAUUAUUUUAUUUU
Episyrphus balteatus (marmalade hoverfly) is the source of this 1463-nucleotide long non-coding RNA. RefSeq lists it as uncharacterized. NCBI's taxonomy places the organism in Eukaryota, Metazoa, Arthropoda, Insecta, Diptera, Syrphidae. The transcript is spliced from 5 exons. The record is from RefSeq and is a predicted model, not a curated record.